GAUGAACGCUGGCGGCGUGCCUAAUACAUGCAAGUCGAGCGAACAGACGAGGAGCUUGCUCCUCUGACGUUAGCGGCGGACGGGUGAGUAACACGUGGAUAACCUACCUAUAAGACUGGGAUAACUUCGGGAAACCGGAGCUAAUACCGGAUAAUAUAUUGAACCGCAUGGUUCAAUAGUGAAAGACGGUUUUGCUGUCACUUAUAGAUUGAUCCGCGCCGCAUUAGCUAGUUGGUAAGGUAACGGCUUACCAAGGCAACGAUGCGUAGCCGACCUGAGAGGGUGAUCGGCCAAAAUGGAACUGAGACAAGGUCCAGACUCCUACGGGAGGCAGCAGUAGGGAAUCUUCCGCAAUGGGCGAAAGCCUGACGGAGCAACGCCGCGUGAGUGAUGAAGGUCUUCGGAUCGUAAAACUCUGUUAUUAGGGAAGAACAAAUGUGUAAGUAACUAUGCACGUCUUGACGGUACCUAAUCAGAAAGCCACGGCUAACUACGUG
Molecule: ribosomal RNA, 497 nt
Filed under: uncultured bacterium
Lineage: Bacteria
Description: partial 16S ribosomal RNA
Rfam family: Bacterial small subunit ribosomal RNA
Source: RNAcentral